AACGAACGCUGGCGGCGUGGAUAAGACAUGCAAGUCGAGCGGGACAAUCAGGGUAGCAAUAUUCUGGUUGUUCAGCGGCGCAAGGGUGCGUAACACGUGGGUAAUUUGCCAUGAAGUCUGGAAUAACUUGCUGAAAGGCGAGCUAAUGCCGGAUGUGACUUCCGAGGGGCAUCUCUUGGAAUUCAAAGCUGGAACCGUAAGGUCUGGCGCUUCUUGAUAAGCCCGCGGUCUAUCAGCUAGUUGGUGAGGUAACGGCUCACCAAGGCUAAGACGGAUAGCUGGUCUGAGAGGACGACCAGCCACACUGGAACUGAGACACGGUCCAGACACCUACGGGUGGCAGCAGUCGAGAAUUUUUCACAAUGGGCGAAAGCCUGAUGGAGCGACGCCGCGUGGGGGAUGAAUGGCUUCGGCCCGUAAACCCCCUGUCAUUUGCGAACAAACCUUACCGGUUAAUACCCGGUGAGCUGAUUGUAGCGGAAGAGGAAGGGACGGCUAA
RNAcentral lists this ribosomal RNA (499 nucleotides) under uncultured bacterium. Its description in RNAcentral is "bacterial SSU rRNA". It matches the Rfam family "Bacterial small subunit ribosomal RNA", at positions 29 to 500 of the family's 1533-position model. The record is from RNAcentral.